RNAcentral lists this ribosomal RNA (61 nucleotides) under uncultured bacterium. Its description in RNAcentral is "partial 16S ribosomal RNA". The record is from RNAcentral.
GAGUGGACGGUCCCCACACUUGGGACUGAGACACGGCCCAGACUCCUACGGAAGGCAGCAG